Molecule: long non-coding RNA, 4643 nt
Organism: Cyprinus carpio carpio
Lineage: Eukaryota; Metazoa; Chordata; Actinopteri; Cypriniformes; Cyprinidae
Source: Ensembl
AUGGGAGAAAGAGGAACGUUUCCUGUUGACCGACCUCUAAUUGGGUUCAGCAGAGCCUCGACAGCUUUAAGCUGCUUCCACAGGUCACGUGACUACUGUGUGUACACACUGGCCAGGCAUCCUUCAACAACAACAGCGGGGUUAUUAAUUCCUCUUCCUGUGAGGCUCCUAAUCCUGUCAUUUAUCUCAGGCGCUGGGCAGUGCAAGAUAACUGGCGAUCUGGCGCUGUGCCAAGAGCAUGCCUCUCGGGUGCCCACCUGGGACAUGCGGACGGCACAAACAGUCUACACCGCUGGGAGAGAAUGAGUACAUCAGCUAAAAUGGCACAUCUCCCAUUCUGCCAUUCACUGGGCCGCACGUGUUAAUUGCCUUCUUCUCAGUCAGGUUGUGAUUUCAUUUUAAACGGAAUUAAAGCUAAUAAGGGGUUCAAAUUAAGGGGGUUUGAGCUGGUGGGAUAUAAUUCUUAAUUUGAGCUCUUAGAAGAGCAGAUAAUGGUGAAAGGUUGGUUUUGUAUUUGUACUUUAAAGUCACUGGAUUCUCUCUGAAUUGACAGGGAACCAAAGGGACUGAGGAGUAAAUUAAAAAAGUGUGAAUUAGUCACUGGUGCACUGAAUUGUGAAUUAUGAUUAAAUAAACACAAAGUGAUUUCAUCUGCUUAUUGUGACUGUUUCUUUUGGAAAGAGAAUCCAAACUAGGACAAUCUCACUGCUAGAGUUUGAGUAAAUACUUUAAAGGGCAGACGGAUAGGGCAAAGAACUAAGAGAGGAAGAAAUAUCUUUUGUUUCAGGCUAAUUUAAAGUUGCCCUUGAUAACAUUUGAACUCUGACAUAAUUUUUAUUAAAAACAACUUAAUGCAGUGUAAGGUAACCUGAGAUAUAAUAUGACUGGAAGGUUUUUAACAUUUAUACAAGAACCAAAAAUUAAAAAUCAAUAAAUACCAACAGAAAAUGGUUCUAGUUUAGUCUUGCUGCAUACUGCCUUCAUAGUAUCUCCGCAUACUGCCUACAUACAGUAGGCGUCUUUAAUAAGCAUUGUAAUACUAUGAGAAAAGGUAACUUCUGUAUAACCAAAAUGACACAGAGGAUAUCAUUGGAAUCACAUUGAGAACUUAUAACUAUUCUUUUUAACAGCUGAUGAACAAUAAAAACAUUUACAGCCAGCCAACUCUGAAAAAAUCGAGUAAGUGGCAGACAAUCUAACUGCAGCUAGCACUGGUGUGGACACUAAUAAAGGUAUAACUAUCUUCACAAUCUCCUAUUGUGAAAUAUUACAAUUUAAAAUAAUUGCUUUCUAUAUGAAUGUAUUUUAAAAUGUCAUUUAUUCUUGUGAGACAAAGCUGUAUUUUCAGCAGCCAUUAUUCCAGUCUUGUUUUAUAUGAUCUUUCUGAAAUCAUUCUAUGCUGAUUUGCUGCGAAAAAAUAUAUAUUUCCUCUUAUUAUUAUUUUUUUUUUAUUAUCAAUGUUGAAGUUGUGCUGCUUAAUUUUUUAUGUUUAUGUUUUUUUUUCAGGAUUCUUUGAUAAGUAGAAAGUAAAAAAAAAGCAUUUAUUUUAAAUAUAAAUCUUUUGUAACAUUAUAUGGUACAUUUCUGUGCUUUCACUUUUCAUGAAUUUAGGUAGGCUAUAUAUAUUGCAGGAACUUUUGUGGCACAAUCAGUGCUCUGCUUGUGAAAUUUGACUCAACAUAAUUUGGCAUUAACAUGUUGCUAUGAUAACAGCGCUAAGCAUUAAAACUAAAUAAAUAAAUAAACAAACACAUUUUAAUUACACAUAUUUUUUUUUAUUAAUAGCAAAUUGACAUUUUUCACACCUCAUCUGCCCUCCUGGAUUUAAUUUUUCACUGAAUGCAAUGCAUCCUGGGAUUGCAAGAAAACAUCUCACAGGCACCAUCUUUAAACAGCCUAUAUUGCUAAGAACUACCUUCAUAUCGGAAGAGCAUAUAUCUGUUUCCUCUAUGUUCCACAUAAACUGCUUAGCCUAUGUUAAAAACAACUUCAUAGCCUGUCAAUCCCAAUUUGACACAAAACGGUAACAAAUGAGCAGGUAAACCCAUCACGUCAUGUGGAGGGGUUUAACGGUGAGCCUAAAUAUCCUGUACCAGAGCACCUCUUGAUGAAGCACAUCACUCAGAGCCAGUGGAUGACCUCUCCACUACUGCCACUGUGGCCCACUGGCCCAUGAAGGAUGUGUCACCACAAACAACAAAUUGAGAUUUAAUGCUUUUAAUUUCCAAUUCUCUGCUCUCCAGUCAAUGGCUUUAGUCCCUCUUGUCUCACACAGAGAAGUUUAUAAAGAGAUUGCUGCAGGAAAUGAGAGCAGGUUUUUUGUAGUUGAGCAUGUGCUAGGGGAUUUAAAAGACAAACACUGAUGGUUUGGCCAGUGAAACGGCUGUGUUAUUGGCUGAUGUUGAGGCAAAACCCUGUUUAGACAAACCAAGGGGUCAAGGCUGGCUAACAUGUUGCUAUAGAUGCUGUAACUAUGCCAUUUGGUUCCAACCGGACAGAGGUAUAUAUAAUUAAAUUAAUAAGCUGUAAGAUUUUUUCUUCUUCUUUCUUUUCAAAGUAUGAGAAAGACGUUAGAUUUUGUAUUUUAUUUUUUAAAAAAAAAAUUUUUUUUGGGGGGGGGGGCAUCAGCCGAGUACCUGUUACUGAAAUUAAUGUGAAUGUUAAAGCAUAUCUUUCUAGUAUUAUAGACCUCCUUGAGAUGGAGUACAAAGUGUGUCUUGGUGUGCAACUAACAAAUAUGAAAUAUUCAUUUUGCCAUUAUAAAUGUAUCAUGGCAUAACAAUGUUUAUACUUCAUAUAACAUGUUUAAUACAUGCUUAAAAAAACAGCUCUAAUGCGUCUGCAUAAUCACAGGAGAAAGUCAGUUCACAUUACAAGAAAUAAAAAUGAAACAUAUUACAAUACAAAAGUUUGGGGACAGUAAGAUUUGUUUUAAUGUUUUUGAAGUCUUGUAUGCUCAACAGUGCUGUAUUUAUCUGAUAGAAAAAAUAUAGUUGUACAGUAAUACUGUGAAAUAUUAUCAGUUAAAUUAAUUAUUUUCUAUUUGAAAAUAUUUUAAAAUUUCAUUUUUUUCCUGUGAUGCAAAGCUGAAUUUUCAGCAGUCAUUACUCCAGUCUUCAGUGUCACGUGAUCCUUCAGAAAUCAUUUUAAUACGCUGAUUUGCCACUCAAGAAACAUUUCUUAUUAUUAUCAGAGUUGAAAACAGUUGUGCUGCUUCAGAUUUUUGUGGAAACCAUAGUACUUUUUUCAGGAUUCUUUGGUGUUCAAAAGAACAGCGUUUAUUUGAAACUAUGUAAACACCUUUACAAUCACUUUUGAUCAGUAUGUUCUUGCCGAAUAACAGAAUAAAAAAUGAAUGAAACAGUCAAAUAGUAUAACAAUUUUUUACAAACUUCUAACGUCUGAAUGGAAAGAACAACAAUAAUCCUGUACAUGGAUAAAUGUCAAGAGAUUUAAUUAACCAGGCAAUACUGGAAACUAUUUUUGUGUGGGUAAUAAUUUACUUAUUCCCAUUGAAAAAUGAAUAAGAAAACAUAGUUACACAUGCAUUUAGGUUACAAGGAAUUAACUUGUAAAAACAUGCAGUAACAGAGGAAUUCAGUUGGGCUACCAAUAUAAUAGUAUUUACUAAUUAAGCAUAGCCUACUUUUAUAUGCUUUCAUAUUCAAAUAAUCAAGAGAUUAAUCUCUCCAUAUGGUUUCAUAUAAAAUGUCAGCAGUUUCCUUGGCACCCUUAAUUCCUCUAAUAUUCCUGGUAGAUAACAAAGGAAAAGCUACAGUAGCUCCAGCUACUGAACAAGAAAAUGUAAAACUCAUAAAAAGUUAAGCAAAAAGUUCAGAUUGGUUUUUAUAUAACCUCUACACACUGUAGUCGAGUGAGAACUGUGUUGGUGAGAGAAGCCUGCUUACUGGAGGCCUCAUAUUGAACAGAAGGUGCCGUCUCACACUCCAGGCCAUUCACACACGCUCUUUACAGUGCGAGUGAAAUAUUAACAGCUCUCCCCUUCUGUAAGUAAUCUAACUCUGCUGCUGGGCCACAAGGUAAGGUUCAGGGUGCGUCUGGAGAGACUGCUGUGCUGAUAAACCUCAUUUACAUAUUUGAAGGAGAAAACUACUUAGAUAAUUGUAUGAAACGACAUUUAAUUACCAUAAACACAAGAUUAAUUAUCGUAGUUAUCAUUUCAGCUCUAAUUCAUACUUACAAGGGCACUGUUUAUCCAUGUGUCUGAUAUUUUUAUGUAUAAGGAAAUAUAAUUUUAGUACAGGAAUUUGACAGAUUUAUGGGUCAUGCCAACUUAAUUAAUUCAAUGCACAAAUGGGGGAAAAAGGAAAGGGGAAUUUAAAAGAAAUGUUAAAAAUGUGCAUGGUUGCCAGACAGAUUUACACCUUGGCCACGUAUCACAAUAUCUUCAAUCAAACAGAGUCCCAGAUUCUACUCCAAUAGACAGACAAGGAAUGCAGCCAAGACUGCCACUAUCCCAGAUGGAGACUAGUGUUAUGAAUAAUGAGUAAAGGAAAGCUAGGCUUCAGAUUUCUGUUUUCAAACUUUAAGCAAGCCACUGAUUAGCACAGCUCAUCUAUAAUGUAAUAUAUAUACCUGCAUUUACAAAUAGGAAACAAACCUGUUGGGAUAUCCCAAAGCAA